UUAAGCGACUAAGCGUACACGGUGGAUGCCCUGGCAGUCAGAGGCGAUGAAGGACGUGCUAAUCUGCGAUAAGCGUCGGUAAGGUGAUAUGAACCGUUAUAACCGGCGAUUUCCGAAUGGGGAAACCCAGUGUGUUUCGACACACUAUCAUUAACUGAAUCCAUAGGUUAAUGAGGCGAACCGGGGGAACUGAAACAUCUAAGUACCCCGAGGAAAAGAAAUCAACCGAGAUUCCCCCAGUAGCGGCGAGCGAACGGGGAGGAGCCCAGAGCCUGAAUCAGUGUGUGUGUUAGUGGAAGCGUCUGGAAAGGCGCGCGAUACAGGGUGACAGCCCCGUACACAAAAAUGCACAUAUUGUGAGCUCGAUGAGUAGGGCGGGACACGUGGUAUCCUGUCUGAAUAUGGGGGGACCAUCCUCCAAGGCUAAAUACUCCUGACUGACCGAUAGUGAACCAGUACCGUGAGGGAAAGGCGAAAAGAACCCCGGCGAGGGGAGUGAAAAAGAACCUGAAACCGUGUACGUACAAGCAGUGGGAGCACGCUUCGGCGUGUGACUGCGUACCUUUUGUAUAAUGGGUCAGCGACUUAUAUUCUGUAGCAAGGUUAACCGAAUAGGGGAGCCGAAGGGAAACCGAGUCUUAACUGGGCGUUAAGUUGCAGGGUAUAGACCCGAAACCCGGUGAUCUAGCCAUGGGCAGGUUGAAGGUUGGGUAACACUAACUGGAGGACCGAACCGACUAAUGUUGAAAAAUUAGCGGAUGACUUGUGGCUGGGGGUGAAAGGCCAAUCAAACCGGGAGAUAGCUGGUUCUCCCCGAAAGCUAUUUAGGUAGCGCCUCGUGAACUCAUCUCCGGGGGUAGAGCACUGUUUCGGCAAGGGGGUCAUCCCGACUUACCAACCCGAUGCAAACUGCGAAUACCGGAGAAUGUUAUCACGGGAGACACACGGCGGGUGCUAACGUCCGUCGUGAAGAGGGAAACAACCCAGACCGCCAGCUAAGGUCCCAAAGUCAUGGUUAAGUGGGAAACGAUGUGGGAAGGCCCAGACAGCCAGGAUGUUGGCUUAGAAGCAGCCAUCAUUUAAAGAAAGCGUAAUAGCUCACUGGUCGAGUCGGCCUGCGCGGAAGAUGUAACGGGGCUAAACCAUGCACCGAAGCUGCGGCAGCGACACUAUGUGUUGUUGGGUAGGGGAGCGUUCUGUAAGCCUGUGAAGGUGUGCUGUGAGGCAUGCUGGAGGUAUCAGAAGUGCGAAUGCUGACAUAAGUAACGAUAAAGCGGGUGAAAAGCCCGCUCGCCGGAAGACCAAGGGUUCCUGUCCAACGUUAAUCGGGGCAGGGUGAGUCGACCCCUAAGGCGAGGCCGAAAGGCGUAGUCGAUGGGAAACAGGUUAAUAUUCCUGUACUUGGUGUUACUGCGAAGGGGGGACGGAGAAGGCUAUGUUGGCCGGGCGACGGUUGUCCCGGUUUAAGCGUGUAGGCUGGUUUUCCAGGCAAAUCCGGAAAAUCAAGGCUGAGGCGUGAUGACGAGGCACUACGGUGCUGAAGCAACAAAUGCCCUGCUUCCAGGAAAAGCCUCUAAGCAUCAGGUAACAUCAAAUCGUACCCCAAACCGACACAGGUGGUCAGGUAGAGAAUACCAAGGCGCUUGAGAGAACUCGGGUGAAGGAACUAGGCAAAAUGGUGCCGUAACUUCGGGAGAAGGCACGCUGAUAUGUAGGUGAAGUCCCUUGCGGAUGGAGCUGAAAUCAGUCGAAGAUACCAGCUGGCUGCAACUGUUUAUUAAAAACACAGCACUGUGCAAACACGAAAGUGGACGUAUACGGUGUGACGCCUGCCCGGUGCCGGAAGGUUAAUUGAUGGGGUCAGCGCAAGCGAAGCUCUUGAUCGAAGCCCCGGUAAACGGCGGCCGUAACUAUAACGGUCCUAAGGUAGCGAAAUUCCUUGUCGGGUAAGUUCCGACCUGCACGAAUGGCGUAAUGAUGGCCAGGCUGUCUCCACCCGAGACUCAGUGAAAUUGAACUCGCUGUGAAGAUGCAGUGUACCCGCGGCAAGACGGAAAGACCCCGUGAACCUUUACUAUAGCUUGACACUGAACAUUGAGCCUUGAUGUGUAGGAUAGGUGGGAGGCUUGGAAGUGUGGACGCCAGUCUGCAUGGAGCCGACCUUGAAAUACCACCCUUUAAUGUUUGAUGUUCUAACGUUGACCCGUAAUCCGGGUUGCGGACAGUGUCUGGUGGGUAGUUUGACUGGGGCGGUCUCCUCCUAAAGAGUAACGGAGGAGCACGAAGGUUGGCUAAUCCUGGUCGGACAUCAGGAGGUUAGUGCAAUGGCAUAAGCCAGCUUGACUGCGAGCGUGACGGCGCGAGCAGGUGCGAAAGCAGGUCAUAGUGAUCCGGUGGUUCUGAAUGGAAGGGCCAUCGCUCAACGGAUAAAAGGUACUCCGGGGAUAACAGGCUGAUACCGCCCAAGAGUUCAUAUCGACGGCGGUGUUUGGCACCUCGAUGUCGGCUCAUCACAUCCUGGGGCUGAAGUAGGUCCCAAGGGUAUGGCUGUUCGCCAUUUAAAGUGGUACGCGAGCUGGGUUUAGAACGUCGUGAGACAGUUCGGUCCCUAUCUGCCGUGGGCGCUGGAGAACUGAGGGGGGCUGCUCCUAGUACGAGAGGACCGGAGUGGACGCAUCACUGGUGUUCGGGUUGUCAUGCCAAUGGCACUGCCCGGUAGCUAAAUGCGGAAGAGAUAAGUGCUGAAAGCAUCUAAGCACGAAACUUGCCCGAGAUGAGUUCUCCCUGACCCUUUAAGGGUCCUGAAGGAACGUUGAAGACGACGACGUUGAUAGGCCGGGUGUGUAAGCGCAGCGAUGCGUUGAGCUAACCGGUACUAAUGAACCGUGAGGCUUAACCUU
This 2900-nucleotide ribosomal RNA is filed under the name Escherichia coli. RNAcentral describes it as "bacterial LSU rRNA". It matches the Rfam family "Bacterial large subunit ribosomal RNA". Lineage: Bacteria; Pseudomonadati; Pseudomonadota; Gammaproteobacteria; Enterobacterales; Enterobacteriaceae. The record is from RNAcentral.